Long non-coding RNA from Symphalangus syndactylus (siamang), 5710 nucleotides. RefSeq lists it as uncharacterized. Lineage: Eukaryota; Metazoa; Chordata; Mammalia; Primates; Hylobatidae. The record is from RefSeq and is a predicted model, not a curated record.
UACUAUCCACAGCUUUGGCAUCCACUGGGGAUCUUGAAAGUAUCCCCUGUGGAUGAGGGGUACUACUGUCUACGUACAUAUUGAUCUUUUGUACACAAACACACAAACGUUUGACAAAAGAUCAUUAUCUACAAUAUAUAUAAGUAGUUUCUAUUAAUAGAUAAGAAACAGACAACAAUUUAAAAAUUAGGCAAAAGGAUGGGUGCAGUGGCUUACGCCUGUAAUCCCAGCACUUUGGGAGGCCGAGGCGGAUGGAUCACCUGAGGUCAGGAGUUCGAGCCAACAUGGCAGAGCCCCGUCUCUACUAAAAAUACAAAAAUUAGCCAGGUGUGGUGGUGGGUGCCUGUAAUCCCAGCUACUUGGGAAGCUGAGGCAGGAGAAUCACUUGAACCCAGGAGGCGGAAGUUACUGUGGGCCAAGAUCGCGCCAUUGCACUCCAGCCUGGGCCACAGAGCGAGACUCCAUCUCAAAAAAAGAAAAAAAAAAUUAGGUAAAGGAUAUAACUAAGCAAUUCAUGGAAAAAUAAACUUGAAAGGCUAAAGAACAAAUGAAAUGAAAUAGAAUGAAUGUUUUACUUCAUUCUAUCAAGGAAAUGGAAACUAAAAUAACAUUUUGUCAUUCAUUUGGCAAAAUCAUAAAAGGUUGUUAUUUUUUAUUGAUAGUGAGGGGUAGGGGACUGGUUACAUACCUCCAUCCCCUGCUGGAGUGUAAAUAGGUGCAGCCACUUUGGGGAUGUACCUACUUAACAGUAGUUACUCAAAUUUAACAAGUAUAUACCUUCACCCAGGACUGUACUAUCAUCUGUAUCAGCAGAAGUCUCAAAACAAGCUAAAUAUCCUUUAGUAGAGAAGUAGUUUUUAAAAAUGAUCAUAAUGGGCCAGGUGCGGUGGCUCGUGCCUGUAAUCCCAGCACUUUGGGAGGCUGACGCAAGCGGAUGAUGUGAGGCCAGGAGUUUGAGACCAAACUGACCAAUAUGGCGAGUCCCCAUCUCUACUAAAAAUACAAAAAUUAGCCAGGUGGUGGUACAUGCCUGUAAUCCCAACUACUCAGGUGGCUGAGGCAGGAGAAUUGCUUAAACCCAGGAGGUAGAGGUUUCAGUGAGCCAAGAUCACCCCACUGCACUCCAGUCUGGGGAAGAGCCUGUCUCAAAAAAAAAAAAAAAAAAAAGAUCAUAAUGAACAUCUAAUAGAAAGAAUGAGAUAAGACUUGGAUAAUGCAGUGGAAACACCUCCACAACUUACCAUUAAGUGAAAGAAAAAAAAAAGAAGAAGCUGUAGAACAGAGUGUAUCAUAUAACGCUAAACAAUACAUAUAGUAUAAUGCCAAUUAUGUAAAAAGAGGAAUAAAAAUCCCACAUUUGUGUAUAUAUGAAUAUAAAUGUAUAGAAAGGGAAUGGGAUUUUUCCAGGAGAAUCAAGGGGGAGAAUCUUUAGCUUUACACAUAUUAAUGUUUCACUUCUGGUUGACUAAUUUUUAAGUAUGCAAGUGAAUAGUACCACUUACCUUUUUUUCACUCAACAAUAUGUCUUGGCCAGGCAUGGUGGCUCAUGCCUAUAACCCCAGCACUUUGAGAAGACAAGGUAGGAGAACCACCUGAGCCUAGGAGUUCAAGACCAGCCUGGGCAACAUAGUGAGAAGUGGGACUCCGUCUUUCCAAAAAAAUAAAAAAUGAGCCAGGCAUGGUGGCACACACCUGUAGUCCUAGCUACUUGGGAGGCUGAAGUGGGAGGAACACUUGAGCCUGGGAGUUUGAGGGAGCAGUGAGCUAUGAUCAUGUCACUGCACUCCAGCCUGGGCAAGAUAGCACAACCCUGUCUCAAAAAAAAAAAAAAAGAAAAAGAAAAUGUCUUGACAAUUUUUCCAUGUUAGGAGAUAAAGAUCUAAUAACUGCUACAGAAAACAUAAUGGAAUGGUUAUAUCAUAGUUCAUUUUGCAACUGUCUUACAGACUGAUGGAUGGACAUUUAGGUGGCUUCCACUUUUUUCAAUAUGCAGACUGUGCACCUGUGCCAGUGAGUUUCUCUGAGUUAUAAGCUGAGAUGUGUAAUCACUGGAGCACAGGAAAUAGCCCUUAUUACUUUUCACAUAUUCUGCCAGACAGCCCUCCACUGAGGCUGUUCCAAUUUACAUUCCACCUGCAGUGUCUGAGAAUUUUCAAUGCUUAAUCCCGUCAUCAGCCCUAACUAUUAACUUUACAUUUUGUCGACCUGGUGGGUGAAAAAUGACAUCCUAGGUUCUAAAUUGCAUCUUUUCUUUUAGCAGUGAGGUUAAGCAUUUUCCCACUGGUUUAUUCGUUGUCAUUUUCUGUGCACUGUUGUUUCACAUUCUUUGUUCUUUCUAUAUUCAGUUAUUUGUCAUUUUCUUAUUGAUUUGUAGAAGCUCUUUAUAUGUUUUGGUCACUGAUCCUUUGUCUUCCAUCUGCUUUUUGUUUUUCAGAAAGUUUUCAAAGUCUCUGGCCUCCUUGUGGUAUUCUUUUAUUUUUUAACACCCUUAUCAAUGUAUCGUUUACAUGUCAUAAAAUUCACCCAUUGUAAGGGUACAAUCCAAUGAUACUAGCAAAUUUUUAGAGUUGUGCAACCAACUCCACAAUCCGGUUUUAGAACAUUUCCAUCAUCCAAAAGUUCCCUUGUGCCUAUUUGUAGUUAAUCCCUGCUCCCACCCCACCCCUAGGCAACCACUGACUUGCCUUCUGUUUCUAUAGGUUUGCCUUUUCUAGACAUUUUAUAUAAAUGGAAUCAUACAAUAUGUAGUCUUUUGCAUUUGGCUUCUUUCACUUAACAUAAUAUUUGUGAGAUUCAUUCCACUUUGUUGUAUGUAUUACUAAUUCGUUCUUCCUUUAGAUUACUGAGUAGUGUUUAGAUAUUGUAUUUGUUUAUCCAUUCACCAAUUGAUAGACUUUUGAGUUGCUGUCAUUUUUUGCUAUUUUGGAUGAUAGCUAUGUUUAUAAAUGGCUGUAAAUAUUUGUGCAUGAGUCUUUGUGUGGAUAUAUACAUAUACGUAUAUUUUAGAGAUGGGGGUCUUGCUAUGUUGCCAAGGCUGGCCUUGAACUCCUGGGUUCAAUUGAUCUUCCUACUUCAGCCUUCUGAGUAGCUGGGACUACAGGUGCGUGCCACUGCGCUCUACUUUGCCAUAUAUUUUUAUUUCUCUUGGGUUGAUAUCUAGGAGUGGAAUCACUGGGUCAUAUGGUACUAAAGAGGCUAUACCACUUAACGUUUCCACCAGCAAUGCAUAAGCAUUUCAAUUUCUGCACAUUCUCACCAACACUUUUUGUUGUCUAUCUUUUUUAUGAUAGCCUUCUAGCAAGUAUAAAGUAGUAUCUCACUGUGGUUUUUUUUUUUUUUUUUUUGAGACAGAGUCUCGUUCUGUUAUGUUCUGUUCUGCUAUGGCACGAUCUCGGCUCACUGCAACCGCCGCCUCCCAGGUUCAAGCGAUUCUCCUGCCUAAGCCCCUCGAAUAGCUGGGAUUACAGGCAUGUGCCAUAACGCCCAGCUAAUUUUUGUUUUGUUUUAGUUUUGCCAGGAUGGUUUCAAUCUCUUAACCUUGUGAUCCACCUGCCUUGGCCUCCCAAAGUGUUGGGAUUACAGGCAUGAGCCACCACACCUGGUCUCAUUGUGGUUUUAAUUUGCAUUUCUCUAGUGACUCAUGAUGUUAAGCAUCUUUUCAUGUGCUUAUUAGCCAUUCAUGUAUUUUCUUUCAUGACAUGUCUAUGAGAAGAUUUUGCCCAUUUUUUUCUCUUUUAUAUUGUGGUAAAAUAUACAUAACAUAAAAUGUACCAUUUUUAAGUGUACAGUGCAGUGGCUUUAAGUACAUUUGCAUUGUUGUGAACCGUCACCAUCAUCCAUCUCCAGAACUUUUCCAUCUUGCCAAACUGAAACUCUAUCCAUAAAACACUAACUCCACGCCACCCCCCCAUGCCCCACCACCCAGCCCUGGGGCCACCAUUUUACUCUCUGUCUCUGUGGAUUUGACUACGCUACUUACUUCACAUAAGCUGGGAUCAUACAAUAUUUGUCCUUUUGUGUCUGGCUUAUUUCAUUUAGCAUAAUUUUUUUUUUUUUUUUGAGAUGGAGUCUCGCUCUGUCGCCCAGGCUGGAGUGCAAUGGCAUGAUCUCGGCUCACUGCAACCUCUGCCUCCCGGGUUCAAGCAAUUCUCCUGCCUCAGCCUCCUGAGUAGCUGGAACUACAGGGAUUGAGCACGCACAGGAGACGUACAUGUCCACCGAGUCUGCAUCUCAACCCAGCCCUCCACACCGUUUCAUCACAAAAAUAUUUAUGGAUGCUCAAAAGUCACCAUGCCCUCUGCUGGUCACUUGGGGAUACAUGAAAAGAAACGGUCUCUGCCUUUGAGGGAGCUCACAGACUGAUGGGGAAGAUAAGACCAUUACAAGAACAACCUGAGUGGAAUCCUGGAUGCUUCAGAGCUGGAAGAAAAGUCCAGGCCAAGGCAUGUAGGCUGUGCUCAUUUGAUAGAUGGGAAGACUGUGGCUCAGGGAGGGAGGGGAGGUGCAACCCAAAAUCUCUGGGGGCUUUAAGAAGGGAGAGAUGGUCAGGCGCAGUGGCUCAUGCCUAUAAUCCUGGCACUUUGGGCGGCCAAGGCAGGAGGAUCAUUUGACGCCAGGACUUUGAGACCAGCCUGAGCAACACAGUAAGACCUCUGUCUCUACAAAAAAAGUUUUAAAAUUAGCUGAGCAUGCUAGGGUAUGCCUGUGGUCCAGCUACCCGGGAGACUGAGGCAGGAGGAUUGCUUGAGUCUGGGAGGUUGACACCACAGUAAACUGUGACAGAGCCACUGCACUCCGGCCUGGGUGAUAGAGUGAGACUCUGUCUCAGAAAAAAAAAAAAAAAAGAAGGGAGAGAUGCCAUCAGGUUGGGGGCUCAGUAAAGACUCCUUGGAGGAGGGGGCAUUUGGGGGAUGGUAGAAGAGGAGCAAAAACAUGGAGUGUGUGUUUGGAGAAGGGUGUGGCAUGGCAGGGUCUGACCCAACAGCAGAAGCACAGGGCUUGGGGGCAGGUAAGACAGAGAGGGAAAGUUGAGGCCAGAUGGGUGAGGAAGGGAUGAUGCAGCAGGAAUUUAGCUUCUCCCUGAAUGCAGGUUUUCCAAGCUGGCUCUCCACAAGGCAGGCCUCACCCUUCACAGUGCCUCCUUCCAGCUCCUGGCAGGAUCCGAUUCUCUCCAUUCCUCUGCAUUAUUAAGCACCCACCAUGAGCCGGGCGCAGUGCCAGAUGCUAGAGCUAGGACAGUCAAUGCAGCAGACACAGCCCACAGCCUCCUGGGGAGACAAGGAUUAAACAAAAAGCCACACACAGCACCGGCUGCAGGGAGAGGCUAAGGGAUAGAAGGCCAAGCUCUCAGGCUCUGGAGCUCCAAUGCCUGGUGUGGCCCUUUCCUAGUUAGUGACUGGUAUUGUUACUUAACCUCUCUGAGCCUCGGUUUCUCCCUCUGUCAAAUGUGGAUAAUAACAGUCCCCAUCUUACAGGGCCAUCGAAAGGAUUGAGUUCACAUAUGCAAAGAACUGAACAGCUGGCACAGGACGUGUGAUAUAGAAAAGUGUUAGCAGGCUGGGUGUGGUGAGUCACACCUGUAAGCCCAGUGCUUUGGGAGGCCGAGGAAAGAGCAUUGCUUGUGGCCAGGAGUUCAAGACCAGCCUGGGCAACAUAGCAAGACCCUAUCUCUAUUAAAAAUAAAUAAAAAGUGUUAGCUUCUUUCUUACUA